Molecule: unclassified non-coding RNA, 435 nt
Filed under: Hevea brasiliensis (rubber tree)
Lineage: Eukaryota; Viridiplantae; Streptophyta; Magnoliopsida; Malpighiales; Euphorbiaceae
Source: RNAcentral
AUCACUUUAUCCAUCAUCUAUACUUAUCAAUAGCAUAAAUAACCACUUAAUUUCAAUAAAAACCAACAAUUCUCAAACUUUCUCAUGGCUUCCAACAUUUAGAGAUUCCAUUUACUCAUGAUUUUCUUUUGAUUUCAUGCAAUUUCUACUUGAUUUAGUAUGCUUACAAAGAUUAAAGAAAGAAGAGAACUUGUUUUAUGCACUAACCUUGUGUGAGCAGAAUUUUUCCAAGCUUAAACUUCACUUUCUCUUCAAUUCUUGGCAGCCAAACACUUCCCCAAGAGGUAUAAACAAGUUUUAAUGAAGGGAGUCUAGGGUUAGUGGUGGGAGACUAGGGUUUUAGAGCUUGAAUUGUGUAACAAUGGAGGAAAGAAAAUGGGUGAGGGAGAGAGAGAAUUAUGGACGGCUAGCUGCUAAAAGAAGACCACAUUUUCU